AAGUGCUACAGCUCUUUAAGAACUUGUCUAGCAGGUUUUCUGGUUGUUACCAAAAAGCCUUC
Molecule: small nuclear RNA, 62 nt
Filed under: Sorex araneus (European shrew)
Lineage: Eukaryota; Metazoa; Chordata; Mammalia; Eulipotyphla; Soricidae
Description: U7 small nuclear RNA (ENSSARG00000016644.1)
Rfam family: U7 small nuclear RNA
About the family: Animal histone pre-mRNAs are spliced by a different mechanism than nuclear pre-mRNAs and self-splicing introns.
Source: RNAcentral